Molecule: ribosomal RNA, 434 nt
Filed under: uncultured bacterium
Lineage: Bacteria
Description: partial 16S ribosomal RNA
Rfam family: Bacterial small subunit ribosomal RNA
Source: RNAcentral
AGCGAACGCUGGCGGCAGGCCUAACACAUGCAAGUCGAACGAACCUGUCCGGGUUUGGGGCGGACGGGGGAUGACCACGGGGUAACGUACAUGUAGGUUCGGUGUAACUGAGUGAAACAUAUGUUAAGAACGAAUGUGCCCUUCGGGGGUAGGAUCUCUCGCUUCUUGAGCGGCCGGGGUCUGAUUCGCUAGUUGGUGAUGGUCAUGGCUCAGCAAGGCGACGUUGAGUAGCUGGUCUGUGAGGAUGAUUUGCCACAUUGGGAAUGAGACACGGCCUAAACUCCUACGGAAGGGUGCAGAGGGGUAUCUUGCGGAAGGGGGGAAGGUCUAACGCAGCCAUGCCGGGGGAAUGAUGAAGGUCUUAGGAUUGUAAAAUUCUUUCACCGGGGACGAUAAUGACGGUACCCGGAGAAGAAGCCCCGGCUAACUUCGUG